This 305-nucleotide ribosomal RNA is filed under the name uncultured bacterium. RNAcentral's name for it is "bacterial SSU rRNA". It matches the Rfam family "Bacterial small subunit ribosomal RNA", at positions 334 to 656 of the family's 1533-position model. The record is from RNAcentral.
UUUUCCUACGGGGGGCAGCAGUGGGGGAUAUUGCACAAUGGGGGGAACCCUGAUGCAGCGACGCCGCGUGGGUGAAGAAGCGCCUCGGCGCGUAAAGCCCUGUCAGCAGGGAAGAAAAUGACGGUACCUGAAGAAGAAGCCCCGGCUAACUACGUGCCAGCAGCCGCGGUAAUACGUAGGGGGCAAGCGUUAUCCGGAUUUACUGGGUGUAAAGGGAGCGUAGACGGCAGCGCAAGUCUGGAGUGAAAUGCCGGGGCCCAACCCCGGAACUGCUUUGGAAACUGUGCAGCUCGAGUGCAGGAGAG